AAAUCCGCAUGAGGACACGUAACUCCGAAUUACCAGAAAUGUUACAUAUUGAGGCGUUCAGGUCAUGAACUAAAAUAGAAAACCACACACACUGAUGGGGAAGAAAAAUAGAAAGAAAAUGUGUACAUUUCUACCACUCGUUAUAUAUUUACAAAUAUUUUGAAUUCUCCGUGUGUGUCUUGACCAUAAACUGAUUCCGCUCAUAAUAAGUAGGAGAACACGUAGACACUAGAAUGAAGUCUUCAUAUUCCGACUGGACCCGAAGGCAGCACUAACUCCUCCUCCGGUGACCGCGCGGGAAGUUCUUCAGUUCAAGACAUUCAACCUGGUUUAAAAUGUAGCGAACGCACCGCUCAACUCAUUUUAACACAAUAAACCCACUUUGAGGAACUUCUUGAGAACUACCCGUGACGGCAGGAGACCUCUGCAGUCAUGUCGGACCCGCCCGCGGAGAGGAGCUCCGCUGCACCGACGCGCUUCGGACAGUGUGCCUACACAGCCGAGGAGCAGGAGGCGGUGAACAAAGCUCUGCGACAGAAGCUGGGACCAGAGUACAUCAGCAGCAGAAUGGCUGGCGGAGGACAGAAGGUUUGCUAUGUGGAAGGGCAUCGUGUAAUCGGCCUGGCCAAUGAGAUGUUUGGGUACAAUGGAUGGUCUCACUCCAUCUCUCAGCAGAAUGUCGACUUUAUAGACAUCAUCAACGGGAAGUUUUAUGUCGGAGUGAGCGCGUUUGUCAAAGUGCAACUGAAGGAUGGGGCGUACCAUGAGGAUGUCGGGUACGGGGUCAGCGAAGGACUGAAAUCCAAAGCUCUGGCACUGGAGAAGGCGAGAAAGGAAGCCGUCACAGACGGCAUGAAAAGAGCACUGAAAUGCUUCGGUAAUGCUCUUGGAAACUGCAUCCUGGAUAAAGAAUACCUCAUAGCCAUUAACAAGAUCCCCAAACAGCCUCCUCCUCCUCUAGACCCGGCAAAGACGAAGCGCUGCGAGGGAGAGCCCUCCGUGGAGAAGGCCCGGUACUCCAGCAUGCUCCAAGAGGAAAGGCUUCAAUCCGCUGCGGGUUCUGGGAGGACGCCGCUGGACCCCCGAGUCCUCAACCACAUCCAGAACUAUUCAGAAGUUCACACCCCGGAUGCUGCCGGCCCCGCUGACAGGAAGAGUGACGACAAUGACUCCAAACCGGCCAUGGACUCAGUGAAAGUUGGCGGGUCACUGGAGCACACAGACCCCAAACAGCUGAGAAAGCUCCGACAGCAGCAGCUUCAGCAGAAGUUCAGGAGAGAGAUGGAGAGCAGGAAGCUGCAGCAGAUACCAGGUCAAGCAAAGUGCGAGGACACGUGGGGGACUACUGGACGAGCCUCUGCUGGAGGUCUUGAAGAUGAAGGCACUGCACACAGGAAGCCAAGCGGCAGGGACGAGCAUUUAGCAGGUUAUGUUAGCCGCCACCAGAAGGCUCAACACACUCUGACCUCGUGACGAUCCUGAGCUCUGGGAUUUCUCUCUGGAUGGGAUCGACCUGCUGGACGUCCCUGCCCCCAGGGGGCUGGUACCGGGCACGCCCAGCAACCACAAGAUGCUGACGCGCAGCAAGACCCCUCAGAGAGACGCGGGCAGACCCCCACAUCAGAACCAGUACCCGGCCCAACCAGGUGAAGCAGUCAGUCCGCGCAGACAAGGACAGCACAUGAAGAAACGCAAACUGGACACAUGAGAUCUUAUGUUCCACACCGUUCCAACUUAAUUUUACUUGUUUUUUUUAAGUGUUACAUUGUUACCUUUGCAAUAAAUUGCUGCCAAUUGA
Gasterosteus aculeatus aculeatus (three-spined stickleback) is the source of this 1798-nucleotide RNA transcript. It is a transcript of the gene named DNA repair protein RAD52 homolog, with no coding region annotated. Lineage: Eukaryota; Metazoa; Chordata; Actinopteri; Perciformes; Gasterosteidae. The record is from RefSeq and is a predicted model, not a curated record.